AGUAACGGCGAGUGAAGCGGGAAAAGCUCAAAUUUAAAAUCUGGCAGUCUUUGGCUGUCCGAGUUGUAAUCUAGAGAAGCAUUAUCCGCGCUGGACCGUGUACAAGUCUCCUGUAAUGGAGCGUCAUAGAGGGUGAGAAUCCCGUCUUUGACACGGACUGCCAGGGCUUUUGUGAUGUGCUCUCAAAGAGUCGAGUUGUUUGGG
Molecule: ribosomal RNA, 204 nt
Filed under: Calonarius sulfurinus
Lineage: Eukaryota; Fungi; Basidiomycota; Agaricomycetes; Agaricales; Cortinariaceae
Description: Cortinarius sulphurinus partial large subunit ribosomal RNA
Rfam family: Eukaryotic large subunit ribosomal RNA
Source: RNAcentral